UACGGAGGGGACUAGCGUUGUUCGGAAUUACUGGGCGUAAAGCGCACGUAGGCGGAUUUGUAAGUCAGGGGUGAAAUCCCGGGGCUCAACCCCGGAACUGCCUUUGAUACUGCGAAUCUCGAGUCCGGAAGAGGUGAGUGGAAUUCCUAGUGUAGAGGUGAAAUUCGUAGAUAUUAGGAAGAACACCAGUGGCGAAGGCGGCUGACUGGUCCGGUUCUGACGCUGAGGCGCGAAAGCGUGGGGAGCAAACAGG
Molecule: ribosomal RNA, 253 nt
Filed under: uncultured bacterium
Lineage: Bacteria
Description: partial 16S ribosomal RNA
Rfam family: Bacterial small subunit ribosomal RNA
Source: RNAcentral